This 77-nucleotide transfer RNA is filed under the name Bacillota bacterium. RNAcentral describes it as "tRNA-Trp". It matches the Rfam family "tRNA". Rfam says of the family: Transfer RNA (tRNA) molecules are approximately 80 nucleotides in length. Their secondary structure includes four short double-helical elements and three loops (D, anti-codon, and T loops). RNAcentral also lists the same sequence under 2 other names. The record is from RNAcentral. Lineage: Bacteria; Bacillati; Bacillota.
GGGCCCGUAGCUCAACUGGCCAGAGCACCGGACUCCAAAUCCGGAGGGUGCGGGUUCGACUCCUGCCGGGCCUGCCA